UAGCUCACUGGUCUAGUGAUUUUGCGCGGAAAAUAUAACGGGGCUAAAGUAAGUACCGAAGCUGUAGACUUAGUUUACUAAGUGGUAGGAGAGCGUUCUAUUUGCGUCGAAGGUAUACCGGUAAGGAGUGCUGGAGCGAAUAGAAGUGAGCAUGCAGGCAUGAGUAGCGAUAAUUAAUGUGAGAAUCAUUAACGCCGUAAACCCAAGGUUUCCUACGCGAUGCUCGUCAUCGUAGGGUUAGUCGGGUCCUAAGUCGAGUCCGAAAGGGGUAGACGAUGGCAAAUUGGUUAAUAUUCCAAUACCAACAUUAGUGUGCGAUGGAAGGACGCUUAGGGCUAAGGGGGCUAGCGGAUGGAAGUGCUAGUCUAAGGUCGUAGGAGGUUGUACAGGCAAAUCCGUAUAACAAUACUCCGAGAACUGAAAGGCUUUUUGAAGUCUUCGGAUGGAUAGAAGAACCCCUGAUGCCGUCGAGCCAAGAAAAGUUUCUAAGUUUAGCUAAUGUUGCCCGUACCGUAAACCGACACAGGUGGGUGGGAUGAGUAUUCUAAGGCGCGUGGAAGAACUCUCUUUAAGGAACUCUGCAAAAUAGCACCGUAUCUUCGGUAUAAGGUGUGGUUAGCUUUGUAUUAGGAUUUACUCCGAAAGCAAGGAAACUUACAACAAAGAGUCCCUCCCGACUGUUUACCAAAAACACAGCACUCUGCUAACUCGUAAGAGGAUGUAUAGGGUGUGACGCCUGCCCGGUGCUCGAAGGUUAAUUGAUGGGGUUAGCAUUAGCGAAGCUCUUGAUCGAAGCCCGAGUAAACGGCGGCCGUAACUAUAACGGUCCUAAGGUAGCGAAAUUCCUUGUCGGUUAAAUACCGACCUGCAUGAAUGGCGUAACGAGAUGGGAGCUGUCUCAAAGAGGGAUCCAGUGAAAUUGUAGUGGAGGUGAAAAUUCCUCCUACCCGCGGCAAGACGGAAAGACCCCGUGGACCUUUACUACAGCUUGACACUGCUACUUGGAUAAGAAUGUGCAGGAUAGGUGGGAGGCUUUGAGUAUAUGACGCCAGUUGUAUAUGAGCCAUUGUUGAGAUACCACUCUUUCUUAUUUGGGUAGCUAACCAGCUUGAGUUAUCCUCAAGUGGGACAAUGUCUGGUGGGUAGUUUGACUGGGGCGGUCGCCUCCCAAAUAAUAACGGAGGCUUACAAAGGUUGGCUCAGAGCGGUUGGAAAUCGUUCGUAGAGUAUAAAGGUAUAAGCCAGCUUAACUGCAAGACAUACAAGUCAAGCAGAGACGAAAGUCGGUCUUAGUGAUCCGGUGGUUCUGUGUGGAAGGGCCAUCGCUCAAAGGAUAAAAGGUACCCCGGGGAUAACAGGCUGAUCUCCCCCAAGAGCUCACAUCGACGGGGAGGUUUGGCACCUCGAUGUCGGCUCAUCGCAUCCUGGGGCUGGAGCAGGUCCCAAGGGUAUGGCUGUUCGCCAUUUAAAGCGGUACGCGAGCUGGGUUCAGAACGUCGUGAGACAGUUCGGUCCCUAUCUGCCGUGGGCGUAAGAAGAUUGAAGAGAUUUGACCCUAGUACGAGAGGACCGGGUUGAACAAACCACUGGUGUAGCUGUUGUUCUGCCAAGAGCAUCGCAGCGUAGCUAAGUUUGGAAAGGAUAAACGCUGAAAGCAUCUAAGCGUGAAGCCAACUCUAAGAUGAAUCUUCUCUAAGCUCUCUAGAAGACUACUAGUUUGAUAGGCUGGGUGUGUAAUGGAUGAAAGUCCUUUAGCUGACCAGUACUAAUAGAGCGUUUGGCUUAUCUUUAAUAAAGCAU
RNAcentral lists this ribosomal RNA (1800 nucleotides) under Campylobacter jejuni. RNAcentral's name for it is "partial 23S ribosomal RNA". It matches the Rfam family "Bacterial large subunit ribosomal RNA", at positions 1138 to 2925 of the family's 2925-position model. Lineage: Bacteria; Pseudomonadati; Campylobacterota; Epsilonproteobacteria; Campylobacterales; Campylobacteraceae. The record is from RNAcentral.